CUGUGAGCCUGAUUACAAGUAUGCCAAGAGUAGACGGGUAAAUAGAGGAACAAAUGAAGGAACCUGGAAAAAGACUGGCAAUGGUUCUAAAAUCAAGCGAAAAUACAGUACCGAAGUGAUUGGUACCAAAAGGAUUUUGUCUUUCUCCUGCCAUGAUUCUGCUUCCAAGAAAGCUAAGACUGAGUGGGUUAUGCACGAAAUAGCUGUUGAAGAUGACCCUGAUUAUAAGGUAUUAGCUACUGUUUUAGAAUUGCGUAGGUAUCGUAAAAUAAUCUGUUUAUUUUCAUGAAAAAUAAUUGUAAAAUACUCUGUUUAUUUUAUUGCAGAAGGACUUUGUUGUGUGUCGCCUUGAAAGAAAACGGGAGAAGAAGAUGCUUGGUGUUGUUUCCACUAAAAGAAAACGGGAUGAGAAGCUUGGUGUUUCCACUAAUGAUGGUGAUCAAUCUUGUCAAAAUUUGACUUCUAAAAGAAGUCAUAUUGCAGAAGAUACUACUAGAAAUCAUGUUGUAGAAAAAGAAGAUUUGGUUUCUAAUAGGACUCGGGUUGCAGAAAAUACUGUUUUGGCCUCUGAAGUUCAAGCAACAGACCAUUCGAUUUCUGAUUCUAGAGAUCAUGUUGCAGAAAAUAUUGUCGACAAUUCUGUUGAGGCAGAAACUCGACAAUUUGCAGAAUUCAAUCCACAGGGAGAUGGCUAUAAUGGGCUGAAUGAAGCCUCUGUCUUGGCACUGCAGUCACCAGUUUAUCCAGAACAGGAAUUGUCAUACUCUAAUGGUUCUAGUUGCGGUAAUGGUUUAUUGAAUUCUGAAUUUGACAGUGAGCAGGUAGAUGACCAGUUCAAUUCACAGAGGGAUUUUCAGAAUAAAGACUCUCCUAAUGAAUCUGGGCAGACCACUUCUGACUUCCUCUCAUCAAAGUCAGAUGAAGGAGUUUACUUGGAGGAUGGCAGUGACAUGGACUCUGAAACCUUCAUUGCAAAGGUGACGAUAUUCUUUCAGUAUUAAUAGUACUUCAGUAGCAUACGUUAAGAAUAAUCAAAUCCUCCAGGAGCAUAUUAUAUUAUUAUUAAUGUAAUAUUGCUUCAUUCAUAGUGUAUUGUAUUACAAACUUUUUAAUCCCUGAGAGUGGUUGUUUGGGGCAUUUGGUUGCACAAGUUACUCUCUAUCAUAUGUAAUAUCUACAUGUAAGAGUACGGUCAAGUUUUGGAGAAGUUCAGCUUGUUAAAUGGGAAUGCUUAUUGAAAACAUUAGUGGCUGAUCAGACUUGAUAGGCCUAAGGGAAGAUCAAAAGAACUCAAUUGCCAGCAUCUUUGACUGUUGGAAAUCAGCAAACCUGGAGUCCCCAACACAGAGGCUAUUUUAAGGUAAAUGUAGAUGCAGCUGCUAAUGCAGAUAAGCAAGUCCCAGGGCUGGGAGCUGUUAUUCGAGAUGAAACUGAGAAUGUAAUUGCAGCUGCAAUUAAUCCUUCAAAGUUUUAUGGAGAUGUAUCUUUUGUGGAGGCAGAAGCAGUGGAGUGGGGUAUGCAAGCUUAGCAUUAUUGCUUGCUGAAUCAGGCUCCCAAGAGGUGGUUACCUGGCAUUAUUGCUUGUUGAAUCAGGCUCUCAGGAGGUGGUUAAUUUUGUAAACAAAAGGCAGGGCAGCAGAUUCAAAAUCUUCUGUUUUAUCUCAUAAAUUCAGUAACUUUGUGAAGGGCUUUGGUCAUGUUGGUGUCCAGUAUGCUCAUAGAUCUUGUAAUGUUAUUGCCCUCUCUUUAGUUACUAGAAAUGCGAAACUGUUGUAUGGAUGGGCUCAUACCCUUCACAACUGAUGUAUUUAUUUUCUUCUAUGAAUUGAAUUUGGUUUUAUUCUCAGAGUAAAAACUGAAAAAAAAAAUUCUGAUGUUAAAAAUUCUUGUGACGGUAACUGUCUUCAUUCAUGUAUAUAUGACACUAUAAGCAGUUUGCUCAUAAGCUGUGGAGGCUUUUGUUCAUCCUUUUUUGUGGCAUCUGCAACAAUCUCCUAGCAUCCUUGUAAAUAAUACAAAAUUGUUAGUCAAGCGGUUCAUUGUGGCUUUGAAGCUUAAAUAAUUUUCACAUAUUAAGAAGCAAAAACAGGAGCUAAAAUGAGCCGCCUCCUUCUGAAUGAGUAAUGACUAAAGUUGCUCCGUCAGAAAGUUGGUUAUUACUUUAAAGAAACAAGUGAUAAAGCGGAAACAAGAGAUAAAAAUGCGCAUAGUACUGCUGAUCUCAUUUCAUUGGAAUACAUAAGUACAAGAUUCUUUCUUGUACCCCAGGAGGUAUGAUGUGUCAUGUAUAAUUACAGCUAUUCUGUACUACUCACGAUCGUCGACCAGUUGUCUAAAUCUAAAGCCAGUAAGCUUAUGCUUUCACCCAUAAAGCUAUAUGUUUAUCUUUAGGAGCCCCCUAAGUUAACGUAACUUAGCACUCGUCUUAUCUUUAUUGUCCAAAUAUGAGAUGAAAAAAGAACACGGAUAAUACUUUGAAGAUAAAAUUGGUCAUUCGAGAUCUAUUAAAAUUGGUUUUGAAAACAUUUUUAGUCCAUCCUAGUAAAAAUCUUGUUAACCGAAAAAAUCGUAGAACUCCAAAAACUCUGAACUCCAUGAAAAUCGUAACUUGCUGAAAACGAUUCUACUGCCGCUGCCUGAGGAUCGGUCCACCAAAAAGGCUCGUUUUCGCAGCCAUGGCAUCAACGAGGAUAACCCACUGCCGAUAUCCUUCAAGGAUGCGCUUGUGGCCCUUAGCCAAGACAUAAAUUUUGCUGAUACUGAGAUGGAAGAAGAAUGAGAUUUUGAACCUGGAGAUGUGAUAGUAGGAGAUGAUGGUACCACGCCAACUAUCCAAUUCUCUAAACGAAUUCAUGAUAAACUGACUAAACCUUGGUUGAACUCUGUGGUGGUGAAGUUGUUGGGGAGAAGCAUUGGAUAUAAGGUUCUAUGUAAUCGGCUAAAGGUAAUGUGGCAUAUGAUACAAGAUUUUUCAACGAUUGACCUUGAAAACAAUUAUUUUUUAGUUCGCCUCCACUCACCGGAGGAUGUUGUCUAUGCACUAACUGAGGGGCCAUAGGUAAUCUUUGGGCACUAUUUAACAGUACAACCUUGGACUCCACAGUUUGACAGCACUAUUACUGAUGUCGAUUCUGCAAUUGUCUGGAUUCGUUUAACUGGUAUGGCUUUUCAUCUAUACAACAAGCGUCUACUACGAAAGGUUGGACAACUAGUGGGUACUGUUAUCAAUAUUGAUUAUCAUACCGAAUUACGGGAGAGGGGAAAGUUUGCUAGGAUUGAUGUCCGCAUUUCUUUGUCUCAACCUUUGGUGUCUUAGUUUAAUUUGGAUGAGGUCCAAAAGGUUGAAUACGAAGGUUUGUUAGUUAUCUGUUACCAAUGUGGUAAAUAUGGCCACAAUAGCAUCGCUUGCCCCGACAAAGAAAAUCUGAAUAGGGCUAACGAUGGUAACUCUGAGAGCAUUCCUCUAAUUAAUGUGGCAGUUGAUAAGGAUGGUGCUCCAGCUAUGGCAAAUAACAAUAAGGAGAAAUUUGGUCCAUGGAUGGUUGUGACACGGAAAGGGAGAACUGAGUAGUAGUGGACAAGGAGAACAUUUCUGAUUUAGAGAGGAAUCAGUAGAAUAACUUUAAUACUGCCUCCCGUUUUUCUGCUUAUUUGAUGAUCUCGACACAAAUGCCGUGGUGGAAGUUGCUGUUCAGAACCCUUCAUUUAUCCCUCCCCAAUGACCAACUGCAUCCGUUACUGACCACUUUAACGCCUGAAGGAACCCUACUUUGAAAACCUUUACUACCCUAAAACCCCAUAACCACCUUUCUAAAGGUAAACAAGAGGCUAAAGCACAACUUUCACGACUUAGGCAACCGAACUCCAAAACUUUCACUUCCAUGCAUGUAAACCUACUCCCCCAUGUUACUAGAACCUUUUUCCCACAAUACACACAUCCCUAUCCCGAACCCAUCAGGACAUACUCCUUGUUUGCCCGUUGAACCUACUUUCACUUGACAAUCUUUGAUCCUCAUAACCAUACAACAGUGACCUUUCCCAUAAAAAAAACCAUGCGAUGAUGGGCAACUAGCCGGGUUGCUCAAGUGGAAAAGAUUCUGCCAACCCUGAACAGCAACGCUACCCAAAACAGCUAGCUAAUCCUCCCGAUGAUAAGGAUGAAAGGGAAGUUAAUACAAUGGCAAACUAUGCUAGUGACCCUAAACUUGUAUUCAGGCAUGUAAGUGAAGACACGAUGUUUGAUGAUGAAAACAAUGUUGUUAAUGAAACUCCUGGCAUGCAUGAAGGAGCGGUUUUAGGGCUCAGUAUGUAAGCAGCUCAUACUCACCUUCUUUGUAUAUAUAUAUUUUAUGACGAUUUCAAUCCUUUUCUAGAAUGUCCAAGGGGCGGGGUCCCCAAACUUUCGACGUGUUUUUGCUACUUUAGUUAAAAGCUACAAUCAUACCAUUGUUGCGACGUUAGAGCCCAGAAUCAGUGGUAAGAAAGCAGAUGACUUUAUUAAAAAAAAGUGGCUUUGACCGCUCACAUUGAGUGGAGGCUAUUGGGUUCUCUUGAGGCAUUUGGAUCUUAUGGAGGAAUUUUUUUGACGUUGAGAAUGUCUUAAAUCAUAACCAAUUUAUUCAUUUGAAAAUCAGUGUCCAGAAUGUUUUCCAAUCUUGGGUCACAACAGUCUAUGCGAGCCCCAAUUCAACUGGAUGUCGUGAUCUUUGGCGCCAUUUGAAUUGUAUUGCGGAUUCGAUGCAUGAUCCUUGGAUUGUGGGGGGUGAUUUCAAUUCAAUAUUGUAUGCUGAGGAAAAAUGUGGGGGGUUCUUAAUUGAGCACGGGUGUUUGUCCAAAUUUCAAAUCACGGUAUCAUGCUAAACAAAUGGUUGACUUGUAGUUCAGUGGCCCCCGAUUCACUUGUUCAUGUGGGAAUCUUUCAAAACAUCUUGACCGCGCUAUGAGUAAUCAAGAGUGGAUUCUCAAAUUUGAUAGUUAUUCGGUUACUUAUUUGCCACGAAUUGAAUCUGACCACAUACCGAUUUUGGUUCGCUUUGGGCGCAAUUCUAGAUGCAUGGGGAGCACCAAGCCUUUUCGCUUUCUAGCUACUUGGAUGACUGACAAACGGUUUGGGGCUUUUAUGCAGGAUAGCUGGCAAAAAAAUACUCCUUAUUCCUAGGUAGCCUCUAUCUUCACAAAUAAAGUGGUUACUUAGAAUAGAGAAGUUUUUGGCAAUAUCUUUAAACGGAAAAAAGAACUAUUAGCUCGAAUUGGUGGGAUUCAGCAGGCUUUGGAGCGCCAGCCUUUCCGUAGUUUGUAUCGUCUUGAGGCAAAUUAAAAAAAAAAGUUAAAAGAAGUUCCAUCUCAAGAGGAGUUAUUAUGGUAUCAAAAAUCCUGUAGAGACUGGAUUAAUUACAGGGAUCAGAAUACCUCUUUUUUUCAUAAAAAAAAAAACCAUUAGAAGGAGGGCUCGUAAUCGCAUCACUACUAUUAAGGAUGAUGGAGGUACUUGGCUUUAUAAUACACAGGAUAUUAAAUAUCAUGUCGUGUCAUUCUUCUCUACUUUAUAUAAAUCUGAUCAAGACACCUACUGUCCAUAUUAUGUGCAAGGGUGUUUUCCUCAAAUUGAUCAGCUUUGCUUGGCAAAUCUUGCUACUCCGAUUGAUAAUGAGGAAAUUCGUCAGGCUGUUUUUCAAAUGAGCCCUCUCAAAGCCCCUGGAGUCGAUGGCUUUCCUGCUGGAUUUUAUCAAUCUCAGUGGCAUAUUGUUGGUGACUCUUUCUGUGCUGGCAUAAAGGAAGUAUUCACUUCGCAUUGUAUCCCUAGAGAAGUUAAUAAAACCCUCUUCAUCCUCAUCCCAAAGACUAAACACCCUAUAUCUUUUAAGAUGUAUCGCCCUAUCAAGUUUAUUGUGAAUAGACUUCAAGUUUUACUCCUCGAUCUCGUUGGUCCCCAUCAGACAAGCUUUGUCCCUGGCCGACAUAUCACUAAAACAUCAUCAUUGUUCAUUUUAUGAGACGAAAGAUGGGUAAAAAAGGUUUCAUGGCUACAAAGGUUGAUCUGGAGAAAGCGUAUGAUAGAUUAAGUUGGAAUUUUAUCCAUAAGACUUUAAUGGAGCUCUCUUUGCCAUUGGACCUUGUUCGCUUAAUAAUGGAAUGCCUUACUUCUAACUGUAUGAACAUUUUAUGGAAUAGUGAAUUAACUGAUGAUUUUUCUCCUAGCAAAGGUGUAUGGCAGGGUGAUCCUUUGUCUCCCUAUAUUUUUGUGCUUUGUAUCAAGAGACUAAGUCAUGGGAUUUAUUGCUCAAUUCAGCAAGAUCAAUGGAAGCCUAUUUGGUUUAUCUCAGAUGGGUACUCCCCUAAGCCACUUAUUUUUUGCUGAUGAUCUUUUACUCCUUGCCGAGGCCUCUGUGAGCAAGCUUAUUUCAUCAAUUCGGUCUUGGAAGAAUUUUGUUUGUGCUCUAGCGCAAAGGUGAAUAAAUCUAAGACCUAGGUUUAUUUUUCCAAAAAUGUGUUUGUUGAUGAUAAGUGCAUAUUUUUCAUAUAUUUUACUAUUAAUUUCUCCAUCUUUUUCUUGUUUUGAUCUUAAAUAUUCUAGUUAUUUUAGUUAAUUUUUAAAUUAUACAUAUUUUACCCUUAAUUAUUUAAUUACUAGUUAUUUUUAUUUGUUAUUUUUAAUUAAUUAAAUUAUUUUAUUGAAUAGGGAAUUAAUUGGAGAUUAUGAAUAAAAAGGGCAUGAAGAAGUUCAAAUUGAGAAGGAAUAAAGAUUAAAUUGGAAGAUAAAAAUACAGUCAAAAAUUGAUAAAACCGAGUGGAAGAAAUCAAAGCAAUUAAUCCAAUUGAGAAAUGUUGAAUAAUUAAAAGAUUUAAUUUUUUUCAAUUGGCAAUUGGAGUACACGUGCAUGGCAUUGCAAAAGUGGAAAGCAUUUAAACGGGCCCGCAAUUGACUUUCAAAAGUUGGAAUUAAUGGCUUUUGGUGGCGUUAAAUUGGAGAAGGAUUUCAAUUAGAAUUGGAAAAGGAUUUCUUUAUUCUUGUUGGAGAAGAAUUCGGUCAACUAACAUUAUAAAAGGAGAUUGCAGCCGCUGGACAGAAAAAAAGAGCAGGGCAGAUCCAAUUCGGCAGCAAGAGGAAAAUCAACAGCUGCAAGAAGAAGAAAAAAAUCAGCGGCCGGAAUUAAAUUGAAGAAAAAGGCAGCCGUUUGAAUUAAUCUCUAUGAUUGGUUUUGUCAAUUUUCUUAUUUCCAAUUCAAUUAUGUUAGGCUAAAUUUUUAUUUGGUUGAGGGUGAAUUCAAAACCCUAAACAUGCUAUGCAAUUAAAUUUAAAUUCUACCAUUCAAUUUAUUUAAUUGAGAUUGUUUAUGUUCUUCUAUAAUUAAUGUUCAUGGUUUAUUCUUGUUUUGUUUGAGUGGCUAAUUAGAUAGGACUUGAAUAAAUUUUAUUGUUAGAUUAAAAUUCUUGAUCCGUAAUUGUCUUGAUAUUUUAAUCAUUAGUAGCAGGUUGGAAUCAGUGAUUUCAAUUGNNNNNNNNNNNNNNNNNNNNNNNNNNNNNNNNNNNNNNNNNNNNNNNNNNNNNNNNNNNNNNNNNNNNNNNNNNNNNNNNNNNNNNNNNNNNNNNNNNNNNNNNNNNNNNNNNNNNNNNNNNNNNNNNNNNNNNNNNNNNNNNNNNNNNNNNNNNNNNNNNNNNNNNNNNNNNNNNNNNNNNNNNNNNNNNNNNNNNNNNNNNNNNNNNNNNNNNNNNNNNNNNNNNNNNNNNNNNNNNNNNNNNNNNNNNNNNNNNNNNNNNNNNNNNNNNNNNNNNNNNNNNNNNNNNNNNNNNNNNNNNNNNNNNNNNNNNNNNNNNNNNNNNNNNNNNNNNNNNNNNNNNNNNNNNNNNNNNNNNNNNNNNNNNNNNNNNNNNNNNUGUUGUCUAUGGUUGAUAGUUUUAAUAUAAAUUGAUAAUAGAAUUGAUAUAUUAUGUUCAUGUUUGGUGGUGGCGAAUGAUCAUUUAACCAAAGUUUUCAUCAUUAUUCUUUCUUUCUCAUUUAAUUAGAGUUUUUAUUAAAUUCUUGUUCGUAAUUUUAAUUUAUUUAUUUCUUACUAUUUAGUUAAAAAUUCAUAAACCCCCCUUUUAUUUUUAAUUGGCACUUUUGUUAGUUAGAUUAAUUUAUAUUAUUAUUACUAUUAUUAUUAUUAUUAUUAUUACUAUUAUUUUAUUUUAAAUCUUGCUUUGGAGUUAAUAAUAAAUAUAAUUAGCAUAGUCUCUGUGGGAUCGAUCCUUACUCGCUCUGUACUAAUUAUUUAUAUUAGUGGUAAGAUUUUAAAUUUGGUGCACCUUAACGACACUACCAGUUGAUGUUGCCGGCAGAUUGGGGCGCAAGUUGGGGUAUGUAGUCACAAAAGAUUUGGGCAAGUACUUAGGCAUGCCAUUGCUGUACCGCCGUGUUACUAAGCAAACUUACUAGGGGAUUCUAGAUAAAGUGGAUCAACGACUUUCGGGAUGGGUUGCUUCUCAACUAUCUCUUGCAGGGCAGAUUACUCUCACUCAAUUCGUCCUCCAAGCAAUUCCCAUUUAUGCUAUGCAAACUACGAAUUUGCUGGUUAGUAUCAAAUCUAAACUUGAUCAAAUUUGUAGACGUUUCUUGUGGAGUGGAAAUGAUGAUCUGCAUAAAAUGAGUUUAAUUAGUUGGCAUAAUAUAUGCCAACCGAAAUUGGCUGGUGGCCUAGGUUUCAAAAGGCUGGACAUUAUGAAUGAAGCUUUGUUGUUGAAGAUUGCUUGGAAUUUAAUUACUAAACCUGAUAAGCUUUGUGUCCAAGUGUUAGCUACAAAAUACGGAGUUUCUUGCUCAGACAUUCCAUAUUCUAUUCCCACUUGAUACGGCUCUCAUUUGUGGAAAUCUGUGGGUCGAGUUUGGGAUCAUGCUAAGCGGGGAUUACAUUGGAAUGUUGGUAAUAGUAGGAAAAUCAAAUUUUGGUGGGACUGUUGGGCAACAACAUUUUACCCUCUUGUGGGUUUUGCCUUGCAGCCGAUCCCUCUUGAUCUCAGUGAUUUGUAUGUUGGUUCUUUUGUGUCCACAGACGGUUCUUGGAAUUGGCCAAAAUUCAGUCACCUUCUACUCUAUAAUGUAGUGAUGUGAAUUGCUUCAAUUUAUCCCCCUUCGGCUGGAAAUGGUGUAGACCAAGUCUACUGGGCAGCUUCAUCACAAGGAAAUUUUACAGUUAAAUCAGCGUAUAAUCUUUUGGCUCAGUCGCAAUGGAAUGAAAGAGAUAAUUUCUGGCAGUUGGCUUGGUCAUGGAAGGGCCCGCAGAGUGUAAAGAUUUUCAUUUGGUUAGUGCUUCACAAUCGCUUGAAGACUCGAGGAGAAUUAGUGUCACGCCUUUGAACAUUGAUCUACCUUGUGAGAGGUGUGGAUAUGGAUUGGAGAAUACGAUUCACGUCCUCUGUGACUAUCCUUUCUCUAAAGCGGUUUGGUUUCCGUUACUUCGGGGCCAUAAUCAUCAGCAUUUUUUCGAAGCUAACCUUGCGGACUGGAUGUCAAAGAAUUUGCAGGAUUUGAACAAUUUUCCAGGUGGCAACCUUUGGCGUGUCACCUUUGGCAUUGCUAUUUGGCAGCUUUGGUUUUGGCGCAAUCAAUUUAUUUUCACCAAGGCUUUCUGGGAGAGCAAUAAUAUUGCAAUGGAUAUCAAAGUUAGGGCAGCUGAAAUUCAAAGAAGUAAUUUGUGUUCUCUUACUGCUGGCAUGGCUCGUGUCGAGAGAUGGAUCUGCUGGACCGCUCCUCUUUGGCCGUGGGUGAAAUUAAAUACAGAUGGUGCCAAGAAAUCUUCAGGCAAUGCAGGAGCUGGUGGACUAAUAUGUGAUUACAGAGGUAUUUGGCUGGCAGGUUACAGUGUUAACUUGGGUGUUUGCUUAAUGACUUCAGCAGAACUAUGGGGUUUAUUUCACGGGCUAUCCAUCGCUUGACAAUAUGGUUUUCGUACGGUUCAAGUGGAAAUUGACAGUAAGUACAUUAUGCAAUUAGUCUCUAGCUCGAACACUCCUGUCAAUGAACACUUUACUCUCAUUCAAGCCAUCAAGAAUCUCUUCCGCCAUGAUUGGUUGAUUAAAGUGGAUCACAUCUACAGGGAAGCCAAUGCAGCAGCAAAUUUCCAUGCGUCCUACGGUUUUUUUUUUCUUUUGGGUUUACAUUGCUUUUAAUCUAUCCCUUCUAAUAUGAUUAAUAUAUUAAACAAUGAUGUCUAUAGGGUUGCGCACUCCUACUUAAUGUCAUCUUAGCUCUCUUAAGAACCCUCUUAAGAUUUAAAAAAAAAUCAAUUUUGAAAACACUUUUUUAAAAUAUAUUUUAAAAAAUUACUAAUUUACUCCCAAAAAUACUAUUUUUUCUUACCACCAAAAUACAAGCACUGACCUAACAAAACUGUAUUUUAAAGAGAUUUUUAAAAGUCAAUCAAAACCUCUACUAACUAAAUAAUCUUAGCCCUUAAGGGCGUAGUCGGAUCGGUAACAUUAAGAAUCUUAUAGUUCCGAACCACUCGGAUUCAAUCCUUAAGGAUGAUAAGGGAAAAAAAUAAAAAAGUAUUUGAGUUUUGCCCACUUCCCUUAAAAAUAAAAAAAGACUAAAUAAUCUUAACCUUUGCUCAAGUCGGUUUCAAGCACAAGCUGAGUCAUCUGCCACAUUUUGCCACAUCAGAUUAAAUGGCCCUUGAGUCCUAUGCUGACGUGAAUUAUUGACUCCUUGUAAAAGAAGUAGAAGCUUCUAGUAUUAUUAGAAAUUAGCAGACAACUUGUAAAGGAAGGGGAGACGCGUGUCUUUAUUUCCUUUCAUUCCUUCCAAAAGAAGGAGACACCCUGUAAGUGGAUCGCUGACCGUACGAUGUUAACACAUUUUGCUCGCGUGAAAACAAAACUAUCGCGACACAUCAUCAACUGCCCCUUGACGUUUCAUCGACCAAUCACCAAGCUUCAAGCUAGUGUAUGUAUAAAUAAACGGUGAACCCGUCUCAUCGUGCAGAGCAAAUUUUUAUCAUGAGAGACAGCUGGCUAGGCCUCAAGCACUUUGAAUCAAAUCUAAAAGAUGGGCUCUCUCGUUUUCAGAUUAUUCAGAUUCCAUCCACCAGAUGAAGAAGAAAUCAUCAAGCUUCUUCUGAACAAGAGGAGACUUGACCCUGAUUUCUAUGUCCAAACAGAUAAGAAGCACAGAGCAGAAUGCGUCGUGUACGGGUUUCAUUUCAGGUAAAGUUGACAAGGUGACUGUCUUGCUUAUUUAUUUUCUGGAUUUUGGCUCUCACAACAGGAAAUUUCAAUGAAAAAUCUCUCUUUGCCGGAAUAAAAAUUGAUGGUUAACAUUCUAAAUUUUUGAGCUCAUACUCUUUACAACUUUAAUUUGUGUGAAGGGAAUUUGUUAUUUGCCUCUUAGAAAGAAAAAAUAAAAAAUUAACGAGGCUAAAACUUCAAAAUGUGAUGAUGGUCAAUCGAGUCACCAAUCAUUUCUAAUUUUAGAAAUCAUGUUGAAAAAGGAUAUUCAUGGGUGACAUAGGGCAUGCCGAAGGGAUAAUUUCAACAUGUUAUCCAUUUUUGUCGUAUGAGACUCCCACGUGAAAUUAUUACUUCGUUGCCAUUUUAGUUGUUAUUUUAGGUAGAAGGUCGACCACUGCCAAAUAUUGAUUCUAGAAAUCUUAUUUAUCUUUUACAUCAGGUAGAAUGUGAACAAUUAACAGCUCAUAGUAUGACUUAUAAGUGUAGAAAUCGUGUUGCAGAAAAUAGAUGUUUUAGUUCAAAGGUGAGAAAGAAUAUGUGUUGUUGACAGCUUUUUAUACCAACUAAUGAAUGUAGUGCAUAAGAAAUAUAUUUGGAACUAAUGCUAUUUACGGUUCUUAUUUCAGGAAGAAUUGCAGCUACUAUCAAGUCAUCAUUUGGUUUUGAUUCCAGAAAUCAUGUUGCAGAAAAAAGAAAAAUUUUCAGUGGUGAGAAAAAGUUUGAAUUUGGGCAUUUUUCAAAAUCAACUUAUAUAUAUAUUAUAAACGUAUCCAGAACUAAUAAAGCUUUGUUCAUGGUCUGUGCUUCAGAAAUCAUGUUGCAGAAAAUACUUUUCCAAAGGUGAGAAAGAACAAAACUUGUGGCAGAUAUGAAAUAUCAACUUAUGAACGUGGUGUAGCAGAAACUGUUUUUGGGACUAAUGCUACUUUGCCAUUGGCUCUAAUUUCAGGAAGAAUCCCAACUGUUACCAAGUCGCAAUUUAAAUUUGUACUGUAGAAAUCAUGUUGCAGAAAAUACUUUUCCAAUGGCAAGAAAAAGCAAGCAUAAUAUCUCUAAUGCACUAGAAAUAUAUACAUACAGAGCUAAUGUCUAUUUGUCCAAUGUUAAUUCAGGUAGAAUCUCUACAAUUGCCUAUUACCAUUUGAUUUCUUAUUUUAGAGAUCAAGUUGCAGAACAAACCUUUUUUAGGGGUGUGAACGAUUGCUAUAUAAACAAUUUCAAAUGCUAAUUUAUAUAUUUCGUGCAUGAGGAAUACGUAUCGAAAUUGUGUUUCUUCCUACGUUGGUUUUAGGAAGAACCUUUGGUGUUUGCUCAAUUUGAUGCUCUCUACGGUUGUAAUGGAUUCCCACUGGAAUCACUAGAAUAGAGAUGUUCUGAUGGCUUCAGUAAUGACUGUCAUGCGCUGAAUUUUCAAUUUAACGGCUGCGAGCAGCAGGAAGAUGUGAAUUCACAAUGGGGGCUAUCCAUGACAAAUACCCUCUUGUAGAAACUGAACUUGCUCAUCCUGCCCUCUUCAGUCUCCGCUAGCUAGUGGAGAAUAUUGUUGUUGAAAUUUUGAUCAUGCUUCAUGCAUGAGGAAUGUACUUCCCGCUGUGUUACAUAUAUUAGAAAAUAGUUAUUUCUAUAUGUGAUUGUGUUACCUAGUUCAUGAAAGUUGGUGCUUGUUUAAUGGGAAUAUAGUGCUAUGUUGUUAUGUUUGAUUAAUUUACUACAUGCAUAUGUUCUUUAGAUCAAUGGACUUGAGCCUAAGCCAUGAAACGCUUCCUAUUGGCGCAAUAACCACUAACAAAUUAUAUAUCAACUGCUCACCUACAAGGGAAGAAAUGGGCGUGGGUAAACGGUAAAUGAACUACUGAGAAUAUUAAUUAAGUAGCACAUUUAAACAACAAUCAAGUCCUCCAGGAAAUAAUGUUGUUUGUAGUACCUGGAUAAUCCACUUGGUCUGUAUUUGAUGUCUAUGUGUGGCAUAUGGCCAAGUCUUGGAAUCUUCAUCAGCUUGUUAAACAUACCAAUUGAAUUCUUGUUUAUAGUACUCGUACGAAUGGUUCAUAGACCUAAUGCAAGACUGUCCAUGGAUGGUAAAAAGGGGAAGAGUGGUUUCUUUCAUUGUGAGAUCAUGGCAAUUGCUUUUCCACCCAUCAACUUUACCUUCACUUGUAUGUACCUCGGAUCAAACUUGUCUUGAGCUAAUCCGCAAAAAUCUCCUAUAUCAGAAGAACUUGCAAAGCUAAAGAUCAAUCAUAUCAGAUGAACCUGUUCUUGAAAGACACCAGUUGGUGAAUUAUAUUAUUGUAAGCAUAUGUCAAAUCUCUUAAAAAAUAGUGCGCUAAAUAAUUUUGUUAAUUUUAUAAAUAAAUAAAGUUAACUAAUUUAAAAAGCUUAAGUAAUUAUAUUUUAAAAUUUUAAAAAAAUUAAAAAUAAUAUUUAGAGUGUAAAUAAUCCAACCCGAUCUCUCGGCCAGCUUUAUUUCUUUUCAAAUGACAUUAUUUUUUUUUUUGAAAAGAAAUUUUUAUUAAUCCAGAGAAGAUAACAAAUACAUGACUUGUAGAGGGUAGGAACCCUUCCAUACAACAGUUUCGCAUUUCUCUAAAGCUAUUUUAACUAGAGAAUGGGCAAUGGCAUUGCAAGAUCUAUGUGUAUACACACAACUAACAUGAUCGAAGCUUUCUUUCAAUUUCUGAAUUUCCAAUACUACCCAAUAGAUCUCGGAUCUGCUGCCCUGUCUGUUGUUUACUAAGCUAACUACUUCUUGCGAAUCUGACUCCAUAAUUACAUCUUUCACAUGCGCAUCUUUUGCCACCUGCAAGCCCCAUUCCAUAGCUUCUGCCUCAGCAUAAGCUACACUUCCAUGGAAUUUUGAAACCUUGAUCGCAGUUGCUGUCACUUGCCCAUUUUCAUCUCUAAUCACAGCCCCCAGCCCAGCAAGAUUCUUUUCUGAGUUGGUAGCGGCAUCAGUGUUGAUCUUAACAAACCCUUCUUGAGGGGGAUUCCAUCCCAGCUGAGCCACUUUCUGCUGCUUUCCAUGGCUUACAUCAGCUGAAGGCUGCACUCUCUUAUAAGCCUCCAUCACAGCUUCAGCUUUAGCCACAACAGAUUGGGGGUUCUCUCGCUUGCCUUUGAACAGCCAUUGGUUCCUUGCAUUCCACUUCGCCCAGAGCAUCACGGCAAACAAAUCUACAUCAGCAUUGCUUCUCAUUCUUUUCACUCCAUGCAACAAGCUCAAAAUAUCCUGCCCAGGGGCUGCUUGAAUAUCAAUAUAAAAAAGGGAUAAUCUCCAAACCUUCUUGGCUGCUUUACAAUCAACUAAGGCAUGAAACACAUUCUCUAUUCCCAUUUUACAAAGCUGGCAGGUAGGCUCUUGGACAAUCUUCCUCUUCCACAAAUUCUCAGCUGAAGGAAGCAAGUUUUUGGCUGCCCUCCAAACAAAUAUUCUGAUCUUCUUUGGCAGAGCAAGAGACCAAAUGAUAUUCCACUCAUUUUUCGAAGACUCCGAGCUUGAAGGCAUGGCUGGAAAUCUAAUUUUCAGUGCUCUCUGGUAACCGCUUUUGACAGUAUAUUGGCCACUCUUUCCAAAAUGCCAAAUGAGUUCAUCCUCCCUUAAUCUUCUCGGCAGCGGAAUUUGAGUUAUUACAUCAGCAUCCAUCUUAUCAAAAUGCUUGUAUAUCAGCUCCUCAUCCCAACAGUUCUCACCAUUGAUUAACUCUGAAACUAGAGCCUCACUAGGCAUUGUUGGCUUAAUCACAGGCUUGAAAGUAAAAGGUUUUGGAAUCCAGUUAGCCUUAUGUAUAUGGACAUCUUGACCAUUUCCAAUUCUCCAUCGAGAGCCCCCACAAAUGAUUUGUCUUCCCCACAAAAUACUCCUCCAAAUAUACGAAGGAUUAGAGCCAAUCUUCGCAUUCAAAAAAUUGGAUGAGUGGAAGUACCGCGCUUGCAGGACCCUAGCCACCAGAGAAUCGGGGCAUUGCUGAAUUCUCCAGCCUUGCUUCGCUAAUAGAGCUUGGUUGAAACUUGCAAAAUCCCGAAAUCCCAUACCCCCCUUACACUUGGCCUGACUCAUUUUCUCCCAUUUCGACCAAUGAAUACUUCGUCUCUCCCUGCUGGAUCCCCACCAGAAAUUGCCCACUAUUCUUUGAAUGUCUUCACAAAUCCCCAACGGAAUCUUAAACACACUCAUAGCGAAUGCUGGAAUGGCUUGCACAGCUGCUUUAAUCAACACCUCUUUGCCCCCACAAGAGAAAAAUUUAUGCUGCCAACUUGAGAUUUUGUUAAGAACCUUCAGCUUGAUGUCAUUGAAGAAACCACUUCUCUUUCUCCCAACCAUAGCAGGAAGGCCUAGGUAGUUUUCAUACUUGGACACAAUGUUGAGAUGAAAUAUGUUUCCAAUUGCAGAAGCUUGUGCUUGCUGGACGUUGCCACUAAGAAAGAGGGAGGAUUUCUCGAAGUUAAAUAUUUGCCCAGAUGCCAAAGAGUAACAGUCCAAGAUCAUCUUCAGUUUUUGGCAAUCGGCAACUGAAGCUCUGCAAAAAAUCAGACUGUCAUCCGCAAAUAAUAGAUGCGAGAUCUUCAACUCUUUUCCAAAAGACAACCCAUGUAUAAGUCUUUGCUGUUCAGCUUGUUGCAACAGGGAGGAAAAGGCCUCUGCACAAGUAAUAAACAAAUACGGGGAAAUGGGACAACCUUGCCUUAACCCUCUUUGAGGUUUGAUAAAGCCCUUAACCGAUCCAUUAAUGAUAACCGAAAAAGACACCGAACUAAUACACCUCAUUAUUAAACUGAUCCAUUGAUGGGAAAAGCCUAAGCGUUUCAUAAUUUGCUCAAGAAAACUCCACUCCAAUCUGUCAUAUGCUUUGCUCACAUCAAGCUUUAAAGCUACCAAGCCAUUUCUUAUGCUCUUACAAUGUCUUAUCUUGUGAAGACAUUCAUAACCAACUAUAAUGUUGUCAGUUAUCAGCCUAUGAGGAAUAAACGCACUUUGCGUUGGGGAGAUGAUCUUGUGCAAAAUUUGUUUAAACCUAUUCGCAAUUGAUUUAGCAACAAUCCUAUAGAUAACAUUACACAAGCUUAUAGGCCUAAACUAUGUGACUUUUCUAGGCUUCCUAAUUUUUGGAAUCAAUGCAAUAUAGGUAUGGUUGAUAGGAGUUAUAGAACCUUGUGAAUUAAAGAUGUGCAGGCAAGUAGCAAGGACUCCAUCUUUGACCAUUUGCCAAUGCUUUUGGUAAAAAAUUGCUGGCAAUCCAUCCGGACCCGGAGCCUUGGUUGGGCACAUUAGGCUCAGAGCAUCCAUCACUUCCUCAACUGAAAAAGGCUUCUCCAACAUCUCAUUCAUAUCUUUCGAUACUCUCGAGGUCAUGCCUUCCAUGGCUGCUGAGAUUUGCUCUUUACUUGGUUGAGUUGUUGCGAAAAGAUUGUUGAAAUAGCUGCAAAAUUCCUGCUCUAUCUCUUUUGGCUUCUCAGUCCAUCUUCCCGAGGUGUCCUCUAUCCCCCAUAUUCUGGUUUUCUUCUUCCUCGACGACGCCUUGUUGUGAAAAAAACUUUGUAUUCUUGUCACCUUCCUUGAGCCAAUCCGCUCUUGAGCGCUGCUUCCAAUAGAUUUCUUCCUUGAUGAGGAUGUUUUGAAUUUGCUUCUCCACUUUCUUAAUUUCUACUCAAUUUUCAAAUUGCACCUUCCUAAGCUUUAGACCCCGCAGCUGCACCCUCAGCUCCUCUAAUUUCUUCUCCCGCCUUCUAAAUUCCCCCUUGCUCCAAUAUAACAGCCGAGCCAUCGAUUUUUUCGCUGAGUUCCAAAACACAUGCACUGGAUUUUCACUCCUCCAAUUGCCGAACAGCCUCCAUUCUUCCUUAAUGAUUUCCUUACAUUCAUCAUACGAGCUCCACAUAUCCUUGUAAUGGAUUCUUGAACGGUGCCUUCCAUCAUGAAUCAUUCCCUCAUUCCUCUCUUUAACUUCCAUCAACACAGGGCAGUGAUCCGAAAACCAUGUGUCAAGGUUGCUAGCUUCACCGUCCACAAAAAUUUCACUCCACUCUUUAUUACAAACAAAUCUAUCUAACCUUUCUUCCACAAAACCCUAACCCCUUAAACCCAACAUCCUUUAAAUCACAAUCCCUCAAAGCUUCGCUAAAAUCAUUGAUUAAUUUCACAUUCCUAUCAUUUCCCCCCCUUUUCUCACCCGGAUGCAAAACCUCAUUAAAAUCACCAAAACACAGCCAAGGGCUAAAAGACAAACCUGCCAGCCGUCUUAGAAGCGUCCAAGUAUGCUUUUUUUGCCCCAUUUCUGGAUGACUAUACACUCCUGUAAUCCUCAUUCGUCUACCAGAUGUCGUUAGUAUUUCAGCAUCGAUAUGGUGCGUGCUGAAAGACUUGAUUUGCACCCUACUUUCUGAGCUCCAGAGCAACGCUAAGCCUCCACCUCUACCACUACAGUUUACCGCGAAGAAAUUAUCAAAAUGUAGCUUAUUCGCAAUCCCGUUCAUUUGCAAAACCGAAACCUUUGUCUCGCACAAAAAAAUAAUUUGAGCACCAUGCAAAAGGAGGAUUUUUUUCAAGGCUUGAAACGCUCGGGGAUUCCCCAAACCCCGAACGUUCCAACUGAUAAUUUUCAUGAUUUUCGGCGGGGCUGACUGCCAGCCUCCGCCGAUACUUGUGCAAUGUUUGAAUCCAUGACUUCCAUGUCUUCCAGCAUCAAAAGCUCUUUGGUCAUCUUGGCCCCUGUUGUUGGCGGGAAAUGAUCAAGUUUAUUAAGCUCUAGUUUGAUGGAGCUAGUUAACUUCGUUUUUUUCUUGGGGUUUUGCCCGAAAGUUUCCUUACUUGGCCUUUUCUGAGUCCCAAUCUGAGAUUUGGAUUUCCCCUCUCCUGGAAUUCGGGCUUGUAUCUUCCAUUUUCGCUUAUUGGGCCUUAAUUGUGAAAUUACCAGCCCAUCGUCUAUUUCAGCUUCCUCGCUUCGCAUUCGGUUUACUUGCACUCUUUCCCACUCUUUUAUGUUUCCAUUUCCCGCCUCUAAUUCCUCUUUUCUAGGGACUGUACCAUUCCCCGAGCCCUCAGUUUGCUUGUAGCCGUCUACUUGCUUUUUUCCCAUCGAUUCUAUCACUUCCUUCAUUAAAUGUUGUUCACCUACUCCCUCCACACCACCCCUCUUGUCAUGCUCCCUGAUUUGCCCCAUUUCUGCCCCAAUGGGUUCCGACCCGUUUACCCUUAAUGGGUUAGCUUGCUUCUGCCUUUGCUGUUGAGAGGAGCUGUGGUUCUCUGAGCUUUCAGCUUUCUCUUCCGAUUUACCCCCCCCAUAGCUCCAUUUCUCCCUCUUUUGAUAUCUUCUUGCUUGGCUCCCUACCGUUGUUGCUUUCAUCCAACUCCCAUACGGUAAUUCUUCUCUUUGUUGACUCUUGUACUUUUCACAUUCCUUGUAUUGAUGGCCAAUAAUCCCACAACAAAAAUAAAAGUCUGUCAAUCGUUCAUAAACCACCGGCAUUGGGAUGUCUGGCUCACCUUCUUGUUUGAGGAACAAUAUUCUCUCCAGGGGCUGUGUUAUGUUGACUGAAAUUCUGAUUCUAGCAAAUUCUCCAAAACAAUCUCCAUUAUCAUCGGUUUCGACCUCCUCUACUAUCCCAAUCUUUCCGCCUAAUUCUUGAAGAAACUCUUUUUCCAUACAAGCAAUUGGGACGUUCCGGAUCUACACCCAAAAGGAUGUCCAGAUAAAUGAUUGUUUGGUGACUUCCCCGAUCCCUUGGGGCUCAGUUAGGACUAUUAAUGCCCUAUCAAAGUGCCACGGACCCCCUGAUAAUACCCUUUUUUUGUCUGUUUGUUCUGCAAAUCUGAACAUGAAGAUAUUAUUCCCCAAGCUCUCGAUUUUGACUUCUUUGAACGUUCUCCACACUUGCUGUAACGCAGCCUUGAGCCCUUCUUUAUUAACUCCUCUCGAGAGAAGGACUUUACCCAUUAGACAUCUUGCUAGCAUUCCUGCUUUCUUAGUUUUCACGUCCACCUCCAUCGUCACUCUAGCUUUAUCUUCCUCUCGAAUAGUUAUUGCUUUGCAUUUUCGAAUUAAUUCGUCUGUAUCCAUGGCAGCUAAUGAAAGAGGGUGAGCACACAACUAUGACUACGAAUCCUUUCCUCCGAGAAUACUCUCUGCUUCCCCAGAGAGCCUAUCCAAACGCACUAUAGCUAAAAAAACUAAAGAUAAUGAUCUACUUUACACUCCCAAGGAGUGAACACCCGGGUCCUUAUGACCCCUCAAUACUUCCAUUCCAGCCUCUCUAUUCGAGAGAGAGAGCUUUACAAAGGAAGACACAUUUUUCAAAUGACAUUAUUAAAAGAACUAAAGUUGUUAAAAAAGGAAAAGAGAUUUAUUAAUUUUUUUAAAAAAACAUACUAACUCUACAUUUUACAAAGAUGAUAGCAAUACCCAUUAGUUCCACGAACCUUGAUAUCAGGACACUCAUUAUUUCAACUUGUUCUGUAGCAAUCGAGUAGAAAUUAUAUUGCCCACUGACUCUUUCUAGUUUUCGCAGACCAAAUUGGACAGAAGAAGCUUUCACUCUCUCAGUAUUACUCUAUGUUUCACCUGGGUGCUGAAUCAGAAAUGAACAGUCUCGUAGGGUUCAGAUUCUACCCAACUGAUGAAGAAAUCAUUCGUCUCCUGAAGAUGAAGAGACUUGAUCCUGGUUUCUCCGUCCGUACGAUCAAGGAAAUUGAUUUCUACGGCUUUGAGCCCUGGGAGCUACCCUGUAAGUAAUCGUGCCAAUCAAGUACUCAACGCGAUGUCUGUUCAAGAUUAAUUAGUUUAGUAACUAAAAUUCAGAAAUUGAUGGAAUCAUUUGCUGCGAUGCAGGCCAUUCUGAGAUUCAGUCUGAGGAAGAGGUGUGGUACUUUUUCUGUGAGCCUGAUUACAAGUAUGCCAAGAGUAAACGGGUAAAUAGAGGAACAAAGGAAGGAACCUGGAAAAAGACGGGCAAUGGUUCUAAAAUCAAGCGAAAAUACAGUACCGAAGUGAUUGGUACCAAAAGGAUUUUGUCUUUCUCCCGCCAUGAUUCUGCCUCCAAGAAAGCUAAGACUGAGUGGGUUAUGCACGAAAUAGCUGUU
This 20278-nucleotide long non-coding RNA is filed under the name Citrus sinensis (sweet orange). Its description in RNAcentral is "long non-coding RNA (CSIN_LNC003126)". Lineage: Eukaryota; Viridiplantae; Streptophyta; Magnoliopsida; Sapindales; Rutaceae. The record is from RNAcentral.